AACGUAGGUUCCGAGCGUUAUCCGGAUUUACUGGGCGUAAAGCGCGUUCAGGCGGUUUGGCAAGUCGGGCAUGAAAUCCUUCGGCUCAACCGGGGGAGGUUGUCCGAUACUGCUAAACUGGAGGGCAGUAGAGGGUGGUGGAAUUCCGGGUGUAGUGGUGAAAUGCGUAGAGAUCCGGAGGAACACCAGUGGCGAAAGCGGCCACCUGGACUGUACCUGACGCUGAAGCGCGAAAGCUAGGGGAGCGAACGGG
Molecule: ribosomal RNA, 253 nt
Filed under: uncultured bacterium
Lineage: Bacteria
Description: partial 16S ribosomal RNA
Rfam family: Bacterial small subunit ribosomal RNA
Source: RNAcentral